UAGGGAGGAAGGCUUACCGAUAAGAAGGGGGAGUACUUGACGUUACCUACAGAGAAAGCACCGGCUAAUUUCGUGCCCCCAGCCGCGGCAAUACGAAAGGUGCGAGCGUUAAUCGGAAUUACUGGGCGUAAAGCGCGCGUAGGCGGUUUGUUAAGUCAUGAUGUGAAAGCCCCGGGCUCAACCUGUGAAUUGCAUUUGAAACUGGUAGGCUAAAGUGCGGUAGAGGGAGGUGGAAUUUCCGGUGUAGCGGUGAAAUGCGUACAGAUCGAAAGGAACACCAGUGGCGAAGGCAGCCUCCUGGACUGACCUUGACGCUGAGGUGCCAAGGCGUGGGGAGCAAACAGGAUUAGAUACCCUGGUAGUCCACGCCGUAUACGAUGUCUACUAGUCGUUGGGAAUCUUAGUAUUCUUGGUGACGAAGUUAACGCGAUAACUAGACCGCCUGGGGAGUACGAGCCGCACGGUUA
This 467-nucleotide ribosomal RNA is filed under the name uncultured bacterium. Its description in RNAcentral is "bacterial SSU rRNA". It matches the Rfam family "Bacterial small subunit ribosomal RNA", at positions 440 to 896 of the family's 1533-position model. The record is from RNAcentral.